This 1548-nucleotide ribosomal RNA is filed under the name human gut metagenome. Its description in RNAcentral is "bacterial LSU rRNA". It matches the Rfam family "Bacterial large subunit ribosomal RNA", at positions 427 to 1977 of the family's 2925-position model. The record is from RNAcentral.
AGGAAUCCUGCGUGAAUCUGCCGGGACCAUCCGGUAAGGCUAAAUACUCCCGUGAGACCGAUAGUGAACGAGUACCGUGAGGGAAAGGUGAAAAGCACCCCUAGCAGGGGAGUGAAACAGUCCCUGAAACCAUGCGCCUACAAGCGGUCGGAGCUGCUUUUGCAGUGACGGCGUGCCUUUUGCAUAAUGAGCCUACGAGUUGCCAUGUCCGGCAAGGCUAAGGGCGAGUACGCCCGCAGCCGCAGUGAAAGCGAGCCUGAACAGGGCGCCGAGUCGGAUGGGGCAGACGCGAAACCAAGUGAUCUACGCAUGGCCAGGCUGAAGUCCCGGUAACACGGGAUGGAGGGCCGCACGGAUAAGCGUUGAAAAGCUUCCCGAUGAGCUGUGCGUAGGAGUGAAAGGCCAAUCAAACUUGGAGAUAGCUCGUACUCCCCGAAAGGCAUUUAGGUGCCGCGUCGGAUGGUCACCGUGAGAGGUAGAGCGACCGAUAGGACAAGAGGGCUUCACCGCCUAUCGAGUCCUGACGAACUCCGAAUGCUCACGGUCUGCAGUCCGGCAGUAAGGGGGCGGGUGCUAAGGUCCGUCCCCGAGAGGAGAAGAAUCCUGACCGUCGUCUAAGGUCCCGAAAUUCUGUCUAAGUUAGUCUAACGAGGUCUGGUCUCAGUGACAGCUAGGAUGUUGGCUUGGAAGCAGCCAUUCAUUCAAAGAGUGCGUAACAGCUCACUGGUCGAGGGUCCUUGCGUGGAUAAUAAUCGGGUAUAAGGCAGAUACCGAAGGCGCGGGAUAGUAAUAAUAAAAGUAUCGGUAGGGGAGCAUUCCAUGUGCGUCGAAUGUUCAUGGUGACGUGAGCUGGAGCGCAUGGAAAAGCAAAUGUAGGUAUAAGUAACGACAAGGAGGGCGAGAACCCCUCCCGCCGCAAGACCAAGGUUUCCCGGGCAAUGCCAGUCAUCCCGGGGUCAGUCGGGUCCUAAGUCUAAGCCGAACGGCGAGGGCGAUGGCAGAAACGGUUAAUAUUCCGUUACUGCCUGUGCGAGCGAUGUGGAGACGGAGAAGUGGAACCGCCGCGGGGUGACGGAAGUCCCCGUUGAAGGGCGUAGGUUAUGAGGUGUGCAGGCAAAUCCGCAUUCCGAGCCGACCCUGACAGUACUCCGGCGCCUGCGGGCAACGGAGAUAGUGCGGGUAAUCAUGCUCCCGAGAAAAUCCGCUAAGCAAUCGCACAGGCACCCGUACCGCAAACGGACACACGUAGUCGGGUAGAAUAUACUAAGGCGUUGAGAGACUCAUGGUUAAGGAACUAGGCAAACUGACCCCGUAACUUCGGGAUAAGGGGUCCUCACGUAGAGUGAGGCGCAGAGAAUAGGUCCAGGCAACUGUUUAACAAAAACACAGGGCUGUGCGAACUCGAAAGAUGAAGUAUACAGCCUGACACCUGCCCGGUGCCGGAAGGUUAAGAGGAGAGCUUAUCGCAAGAGAAGGCUUGAAUUGAAGCCCCGGUAAACGGCGGCCGUAACUAUAACGGUCCUAAGGUAGCGAAAUUCCUUGUCGGGU